AUUCAAAUAGUUUAAGAUAGAAAAAAUGUAAGCUUGUGGUGCUUAAGAUGUGGUUUAACUUUGGAUA
This 67-nucleotide transfer RNA is filed under the name Macrophthalmus abbreviatus. RNAcentral describes it as "tRNA-His". Lineage: Eukaryota; Metazoa; Arthropoda; Malacostraca; Decapoda; Macrophthalmidae. The record is from RNAcentral.